This 256-nucleotide ribosomal RNA is filed under the name uncultured bacterium. RNAcentral describes it as "partial 16S ribosomal RNA". It matches the Rfam family "Archaeal small subunit ribosomal RNA", at positions 474 to 727 of the family's 1478-position model. The record is from RNAcentral.
UACCAGCACCCCCGAGUGGUCGGGACGUUUAUUGGGCCUAAAGCAUCCGUAGCCGGUUCUACAAGUCUUCCGUUAAAUCCAGCUGCUUAACAGAUGGGCUGCGGAAGAUACUAUGGAGCUAGGAGGCGGGAGAGGCAAGCGGUACUCGAUGGGUAGGGGGUAAAAUCCGUUGAUCCAUUGAAGACCACCAGUGGCGAAGGCGGCUUGCCAGAACGCGCUCGACGGUGAGGGAUGAAAGCUGGGGGGAGCAAACCGG